This 253-nucleotide ribosomal RNA is filed under the name uncultured bacterium. Its description in RNAcentral is "partial 16S ribosomal RNA". It matches the Rfam family "Bacterial small subunit ribosomal RNA", at positions 524 to 776 of the family's 1533-position model. The record is from RNAcentral.
UACAGAGGUCUCAAGCGUUGUUCGGAUUCAUUGGGCUUAAAGGGUGCGUAGGCGGCGCGGUAAGUCGGGUGUGAAAUCUCGGGGCUUAACUCCGAAACUGCAUUCGAUACUGCCGUGCUUGAGGACUGGAGAGGAGACUGGAAUUUACGGUGUAGCGGUGAAAUGCGUAGAUAUCGUAAGGAAGACCAGUGGCGAAGGCGGGUCUCUGGACAGUUCCUGACGCUGAGGCACGAAGGUCAGGGGAGCAAACGGG